This 301-nucleotide ribosomal RNA is filed under the name uncultured bacterium. RNAcentral's name for it is "partial 16S ribosomal RNA". It matches the Rfam family "Bacterial small subunit ribosomal RNA", at positions 509 to 807 of the family's 1533-position model. The record is from RNAcentral.
CAGUCGCCGCGGGAAUACGUAGGGUGCGAGCGUUAAUCGGAAUUACUGGGCGUAAAGCGUGCGCAGGCGGUUCGUUAAGACAGAUGUGAAAUCCCCGGGCUCAACCUGGGAACUGCAUUUGUGACUGUAUAGCUAGAGUACGGCAGAGGGGGAUGGAAUUCCGCGUGUAGCAGUGAAAUGCGUAGAUAUGCGGAGGAACACCGAUGGCGAAGGCAAUCCCCUGGGCCUGUACUGACGCUCAUGCACGAAAGCGUGGGGAGCAAACAGGAUUAGAUACCCCAGUAGUCCCUGUCUCUUAUAC